This 484-nucleotide ribosomal RNA is filed under the name uncultured bacterium. RNAcentral's name for it is "partial 16S ribosomal RNA". It matches the Rfam family "Bacterial small subunit ribosomal RNA", at positions 30 to 507 of the family's 1533-position model. The record is from RNAcentral.
AUUGAACGCUGGCGGAAUGCUUUACACAUGCAAGUCGAACGGCAGCACGGGGGCAACCCUGGUGGCGAGUGGCGAACGGGUGAGUAAUACAUCGGAACGUGCCCGGUCGUGGGGGAUAACGUAGCGAAAGUUACGCUAAUACCGCAUACGAUCUGAGGAUGAAAGCGGGGGACCUUCGGGCCUCGCGCGAUCGGAGCGGCCGAUGUCAGAUUAGGUAGUUGGUGGGGUAAAGGCCCACCAAGCCGACGAUCUGUAGCUGGUCUGAGAGGACGACCAGCCACACUGGGACUGAGACACGGCCCAGACUCCUACGGGAGGCAGCAGUGGGGAAUUUUGGACAAUGGGCGCAAGCCUGAUCCAGCCAUUCCGCGUGCAGGACGAAGGCCUUCGGGUUGUAAACUGCUUUUGUAUGGAACGAAAAGGCUCUGGCUAAUACCUGGGGCUCAUGACGGUACCGUAAGAAUAAGCACCGGCUAACUACGUG